RNAcentral lists this ribosomal RNA (433 nucleotides) under uncultured bacterium. RNAcentral describes it as "bacterial SSU rRNA". It matches the Rfam family "Bacterial small subunit ribosomal RNA", at positions 29 to 507 of the family's 1533-position model. The record is from RNAcentral.
AACGAACGCUGGCGGCAGGCCUAACACAUGCAAGUCGAGCGAGGUAGCGAUACCUAGCGGCGGACGGGUUAGUAACGCGUGGGAACGUGCCCAAAGGUACGGAAUAGCCUCGGGAAACUGGGAGUAAUACCGUAUGUGCCCUUCGGGGGAAAGAUUUAUCGCCUUUGGAUCGGCCCGCGUUGGAUUAGGUAGUUGGUGGGGUAAUGGCCUACCAAGCCGACGAUCCAUAGCUGGUUUGAGAGGAUGAUCAGCAACACUGGGACUGAGACACGGCCCAGACUCCUACGGGAGGCAGCAGUGGGGAAUCUUAGACAAUGGGGGAAACCCUGAUCUAGCCAUGCCGCGUGAGCGAUGAAGGCCUUAGGGUUGUAAAGCUCUUUCAGCUGGGAAGAUAAUGACGGUACCAGCAGAAGAAGCCCCGGCUAACUCCGUG